Molecule: transfer RNA, 73 nt
Filed under: Marmota monax (woodchuck)
Lineage: Eukaryota; Metazoa; Chordata; Mammalia; Rodentia; Sciuridae
Description: tRNA.Ala
Source: RNAcentral
GAGGAUGUAGUUCAGUGGUAGAGAGCACUUGCCUAGCAUGCAUGAGGCCCUGUGUUGAAUCCCCAGCACCACA